GUGUUGUUUGUUAAGGGCACACGGUGGAUGCCUUGGCAUUAUGAGCCGAUGAAGGACGUGUAAGGCCGCGAUAGGCCUCGGGGAGUUGCCAAUAGAGCGUUGAUCCGAGGGUGUCCGAAUGGGGAAACCUGGCCAUGGUUAUGUGUGGUUACCCAUCAGUGAAUUCAUAGCUGGUGUGGGGGUGACGCGGGGAAGUGAAACAUCUCAGUACCCGUAGGAGAAGAAAAUAAUUAAUGAUUCUGCUAGUAGUGGCGAACGAACGUGGAUGAGGCUAAACCGUAUGCGUGUGAUACCUGGCAGGGGUUGCGUGUGUGGUGUUGUGGGGCGUUGUUGGAGGAGGCUGCCGGCUCCUCGCUUGUUAUAUGUGUGUGUUAGCGGAAGUGGUUUGGAAUGGCCUGCCGUAGUGGGUGAGAGUCCCGUACGUGAAAAUGCAUGCAUGCGAGUGGAUGAUGUUCCCGAGUAGCAGCGGGCUCGUGGAAUCUGCUGUGAAUCUGCCGGGACCACCCGGUAAGCCUAAAUACUUAUGAUGACCGAUAGCGGAUAGUACCGUGAGGGAAUGGUGAAAAGUACCCCGGGAGGGGAGUGAAAUAGUACCUGAAACCGUGUGCUUACAAUCCGUCAGAGCCUCUUUUUGUUAGGUGAUGGCGUGCCUUUUGAAGAAUGAGCCUGCGAGUCAGCGGCAUGUCGCGAGGUUAACCCGUGUGGGGUAGUCGUAGCGAAAGCGAAUCCUAAUGAGGGUGUUUUUUUAGUGGCAUGUCCUGGACCCGAAGCGGGGUGAUCUACCCAUGGCCAGUGUGAAGCAGCUGUAAGAGGUUGUGGAGGCGCGAACCCACUUAGGUUGAAAACUGAGGGGAUGAGCUGUGGGUAGGGGUGAAAGGCCAAUCAAACUCCGUGAUAGCUGGUUCUCCCCGAAAUGCAUUUAGGUGCAGCGUUGUGUGUUUCUUGCUGGAGGUAGAGCUACUGGUUGGUUGAGCGGGACUACAAUCUUAGCAAUGUCAGCCAAACUCCGAAUGCCGGUAAUGUUAAGCAUGGCAGUGAGACUGCGGGGGAUAAGCUCCGUUGGUCGAGAGGGAAACAGCCCAGAUCGCCGGUUAAGGCCCCUAAGGGUGUACUAAGUGGAAAAGGAUGUGGGAUCGCGAAGACAGCCAGGAGGUUGGCUUAGAAGCAGCCAUCCUUGAAAGAGUGCGUAAUAGCUCACUGGUCGAGUGGUUCUGCGCCGACAAUGUAGUGGGGCUCAAGUACACCGCCGAAGCCGCGGCAGUCAACAAU
This 1269-nucleotide ribosomal RNA is filed under the name Corynebacterium diphtheriae. RNAcentral's name for it is "bacterial LSU rRNA". It matches the Rfam family "Bacterial large subunit ribosomal RNA", at positions 1 to 1216 of the family's 2925-position model. The record is from RNAcentral. Lineage: Bacteria; Bacillati; Actinomycetota; Actinomycetes; Mycobacteriales; Corynebacteriaceae.